Papaver somniferum (opium poppy) is the source of this 188-nucleotide small nuclear RNA. RefSeq annotates it as U2 spliceosomal RNA. NCBI's taxonomy places the organism in Eukaryota, Viridiplantae, Streptophyta, Magnoliopsida, Ranunculales, Papaveraceae. The transcript has a single exon. The record is from RefSeq and is a predicted model, not a curated record.
AUAUCUUUCUCGGCCUUUUGGCUAAGAUCAAGUGUAGUAUCUGUUCUUAUCAGUUUAAUAUCUGAUAUGUGAACCAUCGGCUCACAUGAUAUUAAAUUAAUUUUUUUUCAAGGGGGAGUUCCCAACACAGCAGCUUGCUCACGCGUCGUCUUUGUGUUGCACUACUGCAUAGCCCCGGCACACCCCAA